Cinara cedri is the source of this 492-nucleotide non-coding RNA. NCBI's taxonomy places the organism in Eukaryota, Metazoa, Arthropoda, Insecta, Hemiptera, Aphididae. The record is from the annotation of a GenBank genome assembly.
UACGACUUUAAUUGUAACUUUUUAACUAGUUACUUCCGGGAAAUCGAUCCUUUUUCGUACGGGAUAUUUUUCCAACGCGAUGAUUUAGAAAAUCGGAUACUCAACGUUACACAAAUGGCUUUUUGUUAAUACCUCCCUGCGUGUAGUUGUAACUGUAUAUAGAUAGUGGUAAAUACGAUUUCUCGGUGGUUUUUCGCGGUAGAAUUAUGUUUUUAUUUUUAUCCCAUGCCGCACGUUUUAUACCGGGGCAACCGUCCAAACGGAGGAUUAUGACGCCCGACGAUUUUCCGGCGGAAAAUUGACUGUCUCGAGUUCUUUUGCGAUAAACGUAGGUAUUAAAAACGCCUCCGAAAAUAUAUACACGAAAAUCUCGCGAAUAAAAAUAUUAUCGCCCGUCCUAAUAAUACGCAUUUAACCAGUGGUUACGGAUACGGAGGGGGAUUCUUAUUUAUGAUAAAAUUAAUCGUCCCGUUUAGCUUUAAUAUUUGACGC